UACAGAGGGUGCAAGCGUUAAUCGGAUUUACUGGGCGUAAAGCGUGUGUAGGUGGCUUCCUAAGUCGGUUGUGAAAUCCCUGGGCUCAACCUGGGAACUGCGUCGGAUACUGGAUGGCUUGAAUUCGGGAGAGGGAUGCAGAAUUCCAGGUGUAGCGGUGAAAUGCGUAGAUAUCUGGAGGAAUACCGGUGGCGAAGGCGGCAUCCUGGACCGACAUUGACGCUGAGGAGCGAAAGCUAGGGGAGCAAACGGG
Molecule: ribosomal RNA, 253 nt
Filed under: uncultured bacterium
Lineage: Bacteria
Description: partial 16S ribosomal RNA
Rfam family: Bacterial small subunit ribosomal RNA
Source: RNAcentral